RNAcentral lists this long non-coding RNA (33599 nucleotides) under Malus domestica (apple). Its description in RNAcentral is "long non-coding RNA (MDOM_LNC014224)". Lineage: Eukaryota; Viridiplantae; Streptophyta; Magnoliopsida; Rosales; Rosaceae. The record is from RNAcentral.
UUACAAGUUACCAACUAAAAAGGAAAAUAAAAAGCACCAGCCUAACAAAAUUCCACAGCUUAUCUCUGUAGAUAGAUGUUAGCGUAAAUUGUAACAAUGGUUCUUUAAUUUUAACUCAAUUGGAACUAUGAUUCCUCAACUAAAAAUUCAUUACCAUUGGUUCCUCAACUCAUCAAAACGUGCAGCUAUAGUCCAUCAACUAAAAAUUCAUUUCCAUUUGUCUCUCAACUUUAAUCGAACUGGUUCCUCAAUUCAUCAAAUCGUGCAGCUAUAGUCUCUCAACUAAAAAUUCAUUUCCAUUUGUCUCUCAACUUUAAUCGAACUGGAGAAAUGAUCUCUUAACUUUAACUUAAUUCGAGCAAUGAUCCCUCAACUUUAACCCAAUUGUAGCAAUAAUCCUUCCAACAUAACUUGUUUUGACAAAAUUCUAACGAAAUUAAUGAAAAUUAUCAUAGCUACACGUUUUGAUGAGUUAAAGAACCUCAAUUGUAGCAACGGUCCUUCCAACAUAACUCAUUUUGACAAAAUUUUGAUUAAGUUAAUGAAAAUGAUCAUAACUACACAUUUUGAUGAGUUGAAGGAUCAAUGGUAAUGAAUUUUUAGUUGAAGGAUCAUUACUCCAAUUUGAGGAACUAUUGCUAUAAUUUACUCUAGAUGUUAUAGUUCACUUCAGUGCAAGAAAGAUACUACACAGUAACACAUGAACAGAACAUGGUAAUUGGUACUUGAACAUUUUUUCCCAUAUUCCCAUUCUACCCUUGACAUUGCUCACUUUUUACAUGAUAGAGCAGGCAUUAGGGUUCUCAUCACUGAAGAUCUGAGGUGGGUAGGCAUACUGUUCCAUGAUCUGAGGUGGGUUUGCAUACUGUUCCAUGAUCUGAGGUGGGUAGGCAUAGUGUUCCAUGGCAUACCUUGGUGGGUAAGAAUAGUUUUCAUUCUUCUUCAUCAGCUCCACCACCUUGGUCUCUUCUGCGGCAGCUCCUUCCGGUGCACCACCAGCGGCCGCGGCGGCAGCUUCAUUGUUGUCACCUUUAUUUUCCUUGUUCUCUUCUGCUUUCGCUUCAUCGCCACCACCAUCUUUGCCCUUCUUAUCUUUGUCACCUACUUCACCACCUUUCUUCUCAUCUUUGGCUUUUUCUUUCUCUUUCUUCUCCGGUUCUUGCUUCACGAUCGCCGCGUGCUUCCCGGUUCUUUUGUGCACAUAAUCAACUAGCUUAGGCGGAUCAAACACACCCUUCACUGUCACCUCUGAGCUCUUAAGAUCUGCCUCAGCAGAUUCCACUCCUAAAAAAGUAAUACAAAAGAAAAGCACACAAACAAGAUUAAUUGGAAAAUCGCUCGAAUAAAAUAAUUAUUUUAAAAACAGAAACUUUUGGAAAUAAUUUAAAGUUGGGAUUGGUGGGAUUUGGUCUUGGAAGAGAAUUAAAUUGACUUUAAUUGGACUUGAUUUUUGUGAACUCUAGAAAUUAAUGAAUUAUAUUAUUGAAGAUGAAGAAUGAAUUGACAUUGAAAGAUUGGUCAUUAUUGAUAGAAUAAUAAACUCUUUUUUUAAAGAGAUUCACAAAAAAGAAAAUUAAUAAAAGUUCAGGACCGUUAAUUGCCAACGCAUCCAUACUCCAAAUUUCCCAUUUUUUAAUUUGUGGAAAGUUAGAAAAUGCUUGAACCAAAAUCUGAAAAAGGAUCAAAGACAUAAUCGUUUUUUUCUUUUUAUUUUUUGGGUUUUGUUCUUAUCUCUCUGAGAAAAGAAAACCAAAAUAAAAAUUUGAGUACACCUUUUAUUCUGAGAAUGCGUUUCUUGAUUUCUUGGGCACAGGCGUCGCAAUGCAUGUGAACUUUCAGCACCACUGUGAUUACCUGGGGCUGCAACAAAACAAAAAAUAAUUAAACCCAUCAAAUUGAAAGAAAAAAAAAUCAAUUAAAAUGGCAAUGGAAAAAAUUCUGCAAAAUGAUUAAAAUAUUUGAGUGGACUGAGAACCUCUUCUUUCUUUUCCUCUGGUUUGGGCUUCUCUUUCUCCUCCGCCGGCGGUUUUGGGAUUGGAAAGAGAAGCUCCACCUGCCGGUGGCUCUUCCUCUGAACUCUUUCAAGAACCUUAAUUGGUUCAGCCUUCUCUCCCUUCACCACCACCUUGUGAGUCUUGCAAUCUGUGCUCACAUCUUCCACCCCUGAAAAUUAAAAAAUUAAAUCAAACACAAAUUAAUCCCCCAACCCAAUAUUCCAAUAACGCAAACACAAAAACAAACCUUGAAAUCCUUUGAGGCACCGCUUGACCUUGCGAGCACAUCCCUCACAAUGCAUAUAAACUUUGAGCACAAUUUCUUGGGGUGGCGGCGGAGGCGGAGGAGCGGUGGCGGCAUCACCCUCCUUGGCCUCUGCUUUCCCAUCUUUUCCCUCCUCGGCUUUCUCCUUCUUUUGCUCGGCAGCCUCAGGCUUCUUCUCCUCCGCCUCUGGCUUCUUCUCCUCCAUUUUCUUCUCCUCUGGUUUCUUCUCCUCCUAAACCAACACAAACCCAAAUACAAAAACAAACCCAAUAAACAAAAGAUACAAACUUCGAGAGAAACAAAUCAUAUUAAAAAAAAUAUAUAUAUAUCAAAUCAAAAAUUGAUUAUUAAAGUUGUAGGACCUCCCCCAUUGGUGUAGUUCAAUUGUUAAGUUUUACUCUGUUUUUAAAAUCUCUCCUCUCUCUCUCUCUCUCUCUCUCUCUCUCGAUCUCUCGAGUGGCAUGGGAGCUCAGCUUUCUCUAUAUUUGCGAGAAAUGGGCACUCUCUCUUUUGUGUUUGUUUUUUUUGGUUAAAACUCUCUUUGUGCUUUGUAUUAAACUUUGAGUCACAUAUUUGGGUCCCUCAGAUCUGUAGCCAAAAGCCACUCGGUUCUAUCUCUCUCAUCAUCAUCCAACUUCUGCAAUUUUCUAACCCCAUGACGUGGCAUUGUUGAGUGCCCAUGUGUGCGCAGAAAUUAAUAUUUACUGCACUCUGUGAUUAAAUUGUUUUGUUUUUUGUUUUUUUGGGGCAUUUCUGGAAUAUUCUACCACUUGUUUCUGCUGUUUUUCUUUUGCUCUUGUUCCUUUCAAUGGACUGUACUUGGAUGCUUGCUUUGUCAUUUUGGCAGCUCUUCAUGUGUGGACUUCGAGUUAUUAGGGCACUUCUACUAUAGGAAGGACCAAGGGCGGAGCUACCAUGGGCCUAGAGGGGGCGGAUGCCCCCACUGAGAUUUUUCUGAUGCUGGCAUGCUCAUCUGUUUCUGCAGCAGCAAAGCCCCCACUGCGAUUUUGAGCAGCAGCAAAGCCCCCACUGCAAUUUUCUGGUUCCUCCGAUCUGGGUCUUUCUAAACCAGGCCAAAGGCAAAACGAACCUCUGCAGAAGCCUGAUCUGAUUUUUUUUUUUUAAUGUAAACGAAACGGCGUCGUUUCGUAUAUGUUUAAAAAAAAAAAGUUAUGUUAUAGUAUUAGUGGGGGACCAGACUCCCAUUUCUUUUUUUUUGUCUCCUAAAAAAGUUAUGUUAUAGUAUUAGUGGGGGACCAGACUCCCAUUUCUUUUUUUUUUUACUCCCUUUGUUUUCGUUGCCCUUUGUCAGAGAGCAGCUUGGUGCUGCUCUGUUUGUCUUCUCCAAAGUCCAAACCAAUACCUUGAAAGUUGCUCUCCUGUCCAGGUGCUCUCUGGAGCAAAGUUGCUCUUCCCAGCCAUGCCAGCAGCCAGCCAUUCUCUAGUCUCUAGCCGACAACAUAUAUAUAUAUAUUUAGGUAAAAUUUUUAAUUCCUAAAUCUAUAAUUCCUAACCCUAAUUAAUUAUUUAAGACGAAUUUUUGUUUAAUUGGUAUAGAAAUAUAGAAUCAUAUGGAUAUGGUAUGCACUAAUAUGGAUGGUUAUUGACUUAUUGAUUAUUGAUAUGAUGAAUUCUAUGAUUAUUGAUGAAUGAAAUUAUGAAAUUAUGAAUUCUAUAAAUAUGGGUAUACAUUUAUUCAAAUGAUUAGUUGAAUUAAAUGUUUAUUUGUUGAAUAAUUUGUAUGCUUAUUGGUAUUAGUUAAUUGAAUUGUUGCCUUGGUUGGAUAUGGAUUAGUUAUUAGGCAUUUAUUUUAUUUUUUGGUUAAGAAAGCAUAUAUAUUAAUAUGGAUAACAUUGUCAACAUCUCCAAGAAAACUCAAUUCUACGGCUUAACAGUCUAAAAACAAAUCCAUUUUUCAGAAAUGGAAUCAUAAUCAUCCCCUUUCGAAACCCAAAAAAGAAGAAGAAAUGGAUUAGUUAUUAUUAGGCAUAUUAGUAUAGUAUACUCUAGGAUUAAGAGUCUAAGAAUUUUAUUGAGAUUUUUAUUCUAUAAAUUCUACAAAUUACGUAUGAACCUUAUAUGUUAUUGGUAUAUGACUAACUUUGUAGGCUGAAACAUCAUGGAGAGGUUUUUCAAAAAAAUAUCAGUGCCGCCACCAUCCCCAAUUAUUGAGAAAAAUAAUGAUACUCGGGGACAUGAUAGUGCAGAAUUUAUUUUAUCAAAUCUUCCAUCAGAUCCUGGUAAGAGAAUUCGAAUUUUGGAUUACAAUCCUAAUAUUCGAGAUCAAGUACGAAGAGCGUAUGUACUAGCUGGUCCUCAACAACCUAAAACCCAUAAUUUUCCUUACAAGAAAUAUGGAGACACGCAAAGACGAUUCAACCCUGCUUGGUUUGAUGAUUUUCCUACUUGGUUGGAAUAUAGUGUAGAAAAAGAUGCUGCCUUUUGUCUGUGUUGCUACCUUUUUAAACCAAACAUUGGAGAACAAGCAGGUGGUGAUUUCUUUGUUGGCGAAGGAUUUUCUAACUGGAAGAAGAAAGAAAGACUUCUAACUCAUAUUGGAGGCGUCAAUAGUGCACACAAUCAAGCGUGGAGUAAUUUUGAAGCUUUAAGGAGUCAAAAGCAACAUAUCCAGUCUUUUUUCUCUAAAACUCAUGAUGAAGCUCGAAUUCAAUAUAGAGCUCGGUUGAAUGCAUCAAUUGAUUGUUGUCGAUUUCUUUUGAGACAAGGGCUUGCAUUUCGUGGUAAUGAUGAAUCUGAACAUUCAAGCAACCAUGGAAACUUUCUUGAGCUUCUACAGUUUAUUGCUGACCACAAUGAGGAUGUGAAAGCCGUUACUUUGAAAAAUGCUCCGGAGAAUCACAAAUUGACAUCACCAGAUAUUCAAAAAGACAUUGUAAAUGCUUGUGCAACUGAGACGAUCAAGGCUAUUAUUGAAGACGUUGGCACUUCGUUGUUCUCUAUUUUGAUUGAUGAAUCUCGUGACGUAUCAACGAAGGAACAAAUGGCUAUUGUAUUGCGUUAUGUGGACAAGAAUGGGCAUGUCGUUGAGCGUUUUAUUGGCAUUGAGCAUGUUACUAGUACCGCUGCUCUCUCACUCAAGGAAACCAUUGAUGGGGUAUUUUCUAGGCAUAAAUUGAGCAUGUCUAGGUUGCGUGGGCAAGGUUACGAUGGGGCCAGCAAUAUGCAAGGUGAGUUCAAUGGUCUUAAAGCUCUUAUUAUGAAAGAAAGUGGUUGUGCCUAUUAUAUUCAUUGCUUUGCACAUCAACUUCAAUUAGCUCUUGUAGCUGUGGCAAAGAAGAACAUUCAAAUUGAGUCUCUUUUUAGUAUAGUUACUAUUUUGGUAAAUGUUGUUGGAGCUUCAUCGAAGCGUUGUGAUCUUCUUCGGGAGAAGCAAUCUAUUGCAGUUAUUGAAGCACUAAACAGUGGUGAGUUUACAAGUGGGAAAGGCAAAAAUCAAGAAACUACUUUGAAACGUGCUGGAGAAACACGUUGGGGUUCACACUUGGGUACUUUAGUAAGUAUAAUGACUAUGUUUUCAUCCAUACUUGAUGUACUUGAAGUAAUAGCAGAUGAUGGAGUAAGCUCUCAACAAAGAUGUGAAGCGAAUAAUUUAUUGGAUUCCAUGCAAUCAUUUGAUUUUGUGUUUAAUCUACACUUGAUGAAAGAUAUACUUGGAAUAACCAAUGAAUUGUCACAAGCAUUGCAAAGGAAGGAUCAAGAUAUUGUAAAUGCUAUGAAGUUGGUUGGAGUUUGUAAGCAAAGGUUGGAGAUAAUGAGGAAAAAAAUGGUUGGGAUUCUUUACUCAAUGAAGUCUCAGAAUUUUGUCUUAAACAUGAUAUUGAUGUGCCUAAUAUGGAUGAUAUGUUUCUUUCUCGAAGGCGAGGGCAACGAAAAGCAAAAGCAGUCACAAAUAUGCAUCACUAUUGUGUUGGGAUAUUUUAUGUUGUUUUGGAUUGGCAGCUUCAAGAACUAAAUAAUCGUUUCAAUGAGACCAACACUGAGUUACUUCUUUGUUUGGCAUGUUUAUGUCCAGCCGACUCCUUCUCUGCUUUUGAUAGCCAAAAGCUAUUGCGUCUUGCCCAAUUUUUAUCCUAAAGACUUCUCUAUGAAUGAGCUGGUGAUACUUAAGAUUCAACUUGAGACUUACAUUGUGGAUAUGCGGUCUAGCAUUGAGUUUUCAGGUUUAAAAGAGAUUGGAGAUCUUGCAAAAAAAAUGGUUCAAUGCAAGAAACACAAGGUGUAUUCGCUGGUUUACUUGCUUGUGACAUUAGCACUAACUCUUCCAGUUGCUACUGCAACCGUUGAAAGAGCAUUUUCGGCCAUGAAAAUUCUGAAGAAUCGAUUGAGAAAUCGGAUGGGAGAUCAAUGGAUGAAUGAUAACAUGGUUAUUUUUAUAGAGAGAGAGAUAUUUGAUGGUAUUGGUAAUGAUGUUGUCAUGCAACGCUUUCAGAACAUGAAAACGCGUCGAGGGAUAUUGUAAAGGACUGUUGUAUGAAAAACUUUAUGGAUUAAUAUAUAAGUAUUGUGUUUAGUAAAUUCUUAAGCUUUUUAAUUAUGACUUUGUUGUUUGAGGAUGCCCCCAUUCACACAAAUCUCUGGCUUCGUCCCUGGGAAGGACCCCAGGAUAAUUGACAAUUAAAUCUCCUCUAUUGAAUAAUAAUCGUUUUUAAUAAACAGUAAUUGUCUUUUACAUCUUCAUCUUUAAACUGAAUAGUCAUGGCAAUAGGCAAUUAAAUAUUAUUUAAGCAAGGGGAAGAAAUGUUCAAUCUCCAGGAGGGCGAAAAUGAGAUGGAAGAGGAAGAUGAUGAGGAGCGUAAAAGGAGAGAUGACGAAGUAAGUAGUCAAAGAGCCUUAUAUUCCUGUCGAGUCAUCCAAGUUGUGGCUGAGAUCUUCAGGCCUAGCCAUUCCGCAAACAUCGAUGGAAUCAGGCAACGACGACGUAAGGAUCUCUUGGACGAUUAUUUUGUCUGUAACAGUGUAUUCCCUAAUAUGUGCUUUAGAAGUUGUUUUAGAAUUCAACGACAUUUGUUCGAUAAAAUCAUGAUUGUUGUUUGCAACCAUGAUUCUUACUUUGUGCAAAAGAAUGAUGCUUUUGGUGUCAUGGGUCUCAUUCUUAAGCAAAAAAUUACUACUGCUUUGCAGAUGCUUACAUAUGGAGCAUCUGCAGACCAAGUGGAUGAAAUAGCGAGGAUGGGGAAAUCAACCAUUCUUGAGUCCCUGAUAAGGUUUUGCUCCGCAAUCAAAUCUAUCUACACCAAAGAGUACCUCCGAAGACUUACGACAAUAUACUUGCAAAGGCUUCUGAAGAAGGGUGAGAUGCAAGGUUUUCCUGGUAUGAUUGGAAUCAUCAACUGUAUGCUUUAGACCUGGAAAAAUUGUCCAAGUGCAUGGCAAGGAGCUUAUGAGGACAGAAAAUGAGUAAAAAGUAUCAUUUUGGAGGCAGUGGCAUCAUUUGAUACAUGGAUUUGGCAUGCUUUUUGACAUGUAUCAUUCUUCACAACAUGAUUGUGGAAGAUGCGUAUGAUUAUGAUGUCAUUAAUGAAUUUGAGCUAGACCCGAUGAACAAUUCCAAAACAGAAAUAUAUUGUGCUCAUGAUGCCACUUAAGAACCUGUGCAACACGAGCCAUUAGAAAUGGAUGGACGUUACAAUGAAAAGCUCAUUGAACGACAUACUUCGCUCCAAUCCUCAUACUAUCACAAAUCCCAGCAAAUUGACUUGAUAGAGCACUUGUGGGGAUUGAAAAAAGCUCAAGAAACUUAAAAACAAGUUUGUGAUGGAAGAAGAAUGCUCUUAGUUUGUUUGGUGUGUUUUUUAAGUUCAUUUAGUGUGGUUUUUUUUUAUUUGGUGUGUUUAUGUUCUUUGAAUAAAGAUUUUCUUAGUUUAAAUAAAGUACCAAAUUAAAUAAAGAUACUCUUGGUUUAAAUAAAUACGAAAUUACAUAAAGUACCAAAUUAAAUAAAUACAAAAUACAACCCAAAGUGAUUGGAAAAUUAUGGGCUCCGAUUAUACAACAAAUUCCCUAGUCCUUCGUGAAUGGAAAAUCAUCACCUAACCAAUUUGUGGUGCUAGGACCAUCUCCACUUGCUCUCUCUUCUCUUGCACGCCUCUUUUGCACCAUCUUUGAAUUCCAAAAAUAUUUAGAAUUUGAUGAAAUCUACAGGCUCCUUCAUAGUUUCACGAUCUUGUUGGGCCCUUCUUUCUUCUUUAAGCUAUUCCCUUUCUUGCCUAAGUAGCUCUUUCUCUCUUAUUAGCUUGAAAUAAUCUCUCAGCAGAUACAGCUUUUGCCUCAUCUCUAACCUUAUUAGCCUCAAAAUUAACCAUUUCCCGUGCCAAAAUCAAAUCACCUUGGUGAGCAAGUUCUUCCAUAUAUUUUGCAUAAUUAUUCUUGGAAGCACUCCCUUUUCUCUUUGAAGCCUAAGCGGAUAACGGGUCGACACUGGCACUUGUUUAGGGGUCACUUCAGGCACUUGUUUUGUGUCGCUUUCAUGAACAUGCGAGUCUUGAUCUGGUGUAGAGUGUAGAGGGGUGUUGUUCAUGAUAACUUCUAAACCGACACAACUCUGAAUUUGGGACAAUCUUUGACAAUAUUCCAACAUUCCCACCGGUUGAAUGAUUUGAUUUUGUUUUUGGCAUUAUACCAAGUUUGUGCUUGAAGUGUCUACAAAAUGCGGGAGAAAAAAAAUUAUAAUCAAAGUAGCUAAUGUAAAUUUGGGUAUAGUACAAACAAAUAAAUAAUAUAUUGUUACCUGAUCCGCGUAAUUUUCCCACUUCGAAUAUUAGUACUAGCUUGUGUCAAGGUGUUUCUCCAAUGAGUAAACGGUUAGCUGAGUAUUCUCCAACAACUUGAGAGUGAUUGUUCCGUUCUUUUGCCACCAAUUUUCUCAAGAAAAAUGGAAUGAAUAUUGCUCCACAUUUCUCGCAACUGCAUCUCAUUACUCGUAAUCGGAUCAUGAGUAACUUCAACCCAACUAGAACACAACGUAAUAUCUUCAAUAAGCGUCCAAUUCAUAUCUAUAUCAUUAGCCUUUUUUUUUUUUGGAAACAAAAGUAUAUAUAAACUUUGAGAGAAAGAUUGGAAUGUGGUUGAAAGUAUUUGAGAAAAUAUGAAAUUGUAAGGUGGAAGAUAAUGAUAAGGUAUUUAUAGAAAAAUAAAAUCAAUUUUUAAAAAAGAAAAAGUUUAAUUUUUUUCGUAUUUUUUUAUUAAUUUUUAACUUUUUUAUUAACUUAAUUAAAUUUUUCCUUUUGAUUAAAGAAAAAUCCAACCCUCCAGAUUGUGCCAUGUGUCAUAAUAGUAACAUAUCAGAUUUUUUUUUUCUUUUUUUUUUCAUUGUUAAAGCCGAAAAAUGUGGACCAUUGAUCUGGAAUCGAACAACUGAGAUUGUGCCACGUCAUCUAGCCGUUGGGGGAGGUUUUACCGUUGGAAAUCCAAUGGUCCAAAAAAAUUAGCCUUUGAAAUCCGACGGACGAAAGGGUGCCACGUGGCACCAGUAACGAUAACAUUUCAGAGUUUAAACAGCGAGCCCCACCGACUGAAAUCUUGUCGGUGACGCGCCCCCACGCGUUGGUGUUAUGCACACGCCUGACGCAAUUUUUUUUAUAACAUAGCUGACAUCAUCCUGACGUCAGCCUUGCAUCACAUAGCCCUCAGGCACUCGGACCUUGGACUCACGCCUGCCCUUUCCCACGGGCUCCCCCUUAGCCCAAUUGCUCACAUGGGCUAGAGCAAGUUUGGGAGGCUAUUGGGUUGCUUUGGUUCCUUGUCCACCGGACUAUCUCUAUUCCUGGACUUGCUCUUAGAAUGGUGGGGGUGAAUUUCAUAGAGUGAGUGAGUCACUAAAAGAAUUUCCAGUAAUAUUAAAAAGUAUUUGUUUGACAAUCACUUGCAAGUCGCAUGUAUAUGUAAACUUGUGACGGAGUCGAUGAUGAAAAUUUGAUUGAGUAAAGUCUAAAUUUACUGCUCGUCUAUACUUAAUCAAAGAAUUGUAAUGAUUAUAGUAUUAUUAUUUGUCAUUACGCACCAAUGGAUGCACAAACUGACCAUCAAUAUGUAUAAGUAAACUUGGGUGUUGGGUUGGUGAAGGUUUAAUUGUGUACCAAGUAACGUCUAAAUUUAUAACUCAUUCCUAAUGCUUAUCAGUUCGGAACGUGACCACUUGUAAGGCAUGCACACAAGAAAAAUUAAAGUUAAAUAAACAAGCAUGAAAAUCAUUGUUUCUUAGUUGGUAAUCAAGGCUUGGAGAUUACAUUAGGCUUGAUCAUUAAAAUACCAUAACCUUUUUAGCGUUGACCGCCAAGUAAACUCGGGCGUUGCACCAAUGAAGAUUUUAUUAGGUAACAGAUAACGCCUAAAUUUACAGCUAAUUCCUAAUACUUAUUUCUUUGCAAUUUGACCACUUGUAACUUUGUAAGGCAUGCACAUAAGAAAAAAUAAAAAAUAAAAAACAUGUAAAUCAUUAUUUCUCAAUUGGCAUUCAAUUUUUUUUUAUAUUUAAUCAUUUUAGCUUUCACCUUAAAAUAAACUUAGGUGAUAUCUAAGUUUGAUUAAGAAGCUAAGUUUUUAACUAAUUUUUUAAACUCAGCCGAUUCAUUAGUGUGAAUCGCCAAUUUACUCCUAACCAUCAAUGUCUUUACAUUUUUUUUAAACAAAUGAUAUUAUCUACACUAAGAGAAAAGGGGUGGCUGCUAGCAAUAAUGUGGUUCAAAUUCAUUGAGUAAAGAGAAAUAUCACUAAACCCUUAUAAGUAAAGAAAAAUACUAUUAAACUGUAAUAUUAAAUGAUUCUCUACAUUUCUUUUAUAUCAUUUUAUGUUCGCUUGGGACACCAUGCCAAGGGAGGUGCCCUACACCUAUGAGAAAUUUGAUCCCACCUAUAGACACUUGGCAACGUAUAAACCCUAAUAAUAGCUUGAAUUGAACACAUUGGUGUUCGAGCACUUGUCAAAUUUUGAGAGCAUGCAAAACUAGAGGCCACAAAAACAAAACAUCUUUUGAAUUAGCUAAAGGCGUUUUAAGCAUUAGUUAACCACCCACCUAAAAAUUCAUUGUUUUAAUAUAAAAGAAAGAACGUAUGAAACGAAAUGGAAAAAUCAUGUUGUUCUAGUAGGUUGAUUUGAUUGUUUUUGUUUAUGCAUGUGGCUUUUGCUAGUUUGGUGAGACAGUAACCGAAUAGAAUUUUGAUGUGACAAACCAGGGGGUGAAACAAUAGAACCAACUAGCUCCAUCAAAGUUCUAAACAUAGAAAUUUAAAUAGGAUAGGGAUCCUCUCCAGAUUUCUUCUUCCUAAUUUACCAAAUCAGGAAAUCCGUGUAAUUUAAAUUAGAUCCAAUAGCUGAAGUUAUUAUAACUUUUAAAUGGCCCUCUGUUUGUGGCCGUUGAAUCAAAUUUCAAUAGCUCAGAUUCUCUAAUUUGAUGGAUUAUGAGGAUUGAAUCUGGAGGUGAUCCCUUUCUAUUAAAAUAUACAUUCAAAAUUUUAAGAAAGUCUUAUCAACAAUGCAUCCAAAAUAUUAAAUUCCUUUAUUUGUGGGAAUUAAUUUGGUUAAUUUUGUGACGGUCUCUAAGUAGCUCAAGUAAGAUGGAGUGAGAUUUUUACAGUAUAGAGAGCAGCUCAACACUUUACAAGCGCAUGUAAUGUUCCUUAAUUCUCUUAUGGAAGAUUUACUAUGCCUCUCACGUGUGACAUCAUGUAAGUCUAACAAGUUGACAAUACAUAUUUGUUGAUGUGAGAGCAAAAGCAAGUAGGCCAUCGGGCUUAGUAUGCAGCUAACCUCCUUUAAUACUAUGAAAUAAGUUGAGAUUUUAUGCUUAACAAUCAGGAGUAGCACAACUUAUUAUAAAUAAGCAUUUUAACCAAAAUGGUUCCUGAAAUUAGCAUAAAUCCUCACUUUGGUCCUUGAGAUUUGAAAUCGAUAGAAUUUGUCCUUGAGUUUGUCUGUCAUCAAUCAUUUUGGUCAUCCUGUGAAAAAUUUAUGUUAAAUAAGAACCAAAAUGAAAAAAUGCUCUCAAUUUAAUAAACAAUGAGCCAAUAUAAUUUGACAAAAAUUGAGAGUUUUUUUUUUUUUUUUUUGUCAUUUCAUCAUUAUUUAACGGAGAUUUUUUCACAAAAUGACUAAAAUGAUUGAUGGUGAACAAACUCAAGAACCAAUUCUAUCGAUUUUAAAUCUCAAGGACUAAAGUGAGAAGUUAUGUCUAUCUCAGGUACUAUUUUAGCUAAAAAAAUCUUAUAAAUAGACGUAAAAUUCCUUAAUUUUUCAUUGUAAAUUCACGCUCUCAACAUUAUUAAUAGUAAUCAUCUAUGUUAUUUUAUAGAUUACUUUGAUAUUUUCGUCCCCACCAAUUAAAGUGUAAAGAAAAGGUUAUAUGUACGUACCUGGAUGUAUACCACCAUACUCAACUGAUUUACCGAAAAAGGUGGCAUAUCUAAUGUUUUCUUUUAAGAAUUUCUCAAAACGAAUUCUCAAAAACGUUGCUUUCAGUAUAAAAAAAUUCUCAUCCACAGUCCAAUAGAGUUCAGAAAAUAUUUAAAUCCAAAGAGAAGGUUUGGGGAUUUCUCAAAACAGACAGUUAGCUGUGAUCAUGAAUAUUCCAUAUGCAUCAUCAAAUAGCUAGCUACUACCUAAUCGUGUUGCCUCCAAUAUGACAAGGAAUGGACCGAAACCUGACUACGCACUAUUAGAGCAUCUCCAAUAGAAGAUGCAAAAUAUAUUGGAAUUGUUGCAGUUUUAUUGGAUUGAGAAUGUAAUUGUGUAAAGUAUAGUGUAUUUAAGAGUAUCUUUGUAUAUUCCCUUUAGUAGUUUAAUUCCUAUUAGAGUUGUAAUCCUAAUAGGGUAAGGAUUUAAUCUUCCCUACUACUAUAAAUAAAGGCAUAAUGGGGUGAUACAAUACACACCUCAGAAUCACAUCUCUCUCUUCUCUCUCUGUUGUCGCCGGCCUCUCCCUCAAUGUCCUAAAUACAGUUCAGUCAAAUAGGCAUACAACACGUUAUCAGCAUGCCCUUGCCAGAAGCUAAGGAACUGAAGGAUCGUGGAUGAGGAUUUCUUCUACAACAUCAAAGGCUUUCAAUGAUUUUCUGCUAAUCAGGUUUUUCUAAAAUAAAUUAAGAUAUUUGAAAGAAAAAAACCUUGAAGAAUGAAAACAUUCCCCAUAAUGCAUGAACCCCCUAUAUUUAUAUUUUCUUUCCAAUUAUAUAUACUGCAUAUGUGUUCAUAUAUUUUGUCAAUAUAUAUACUUGUUCAUGCAAUACACAAUUAUGCUAUGUGGAAUUUGUGAGUCAAAGCAUUGAAGUUAAUUUAAAAGCAAUUAGGGUUUUUAACCCUAGAUUUCGAGAAAAAAAUAAAAUAAAAAAUCUAGGAUUUUUGCGACAAAAGUCGCGGCUCACCGUCGCGCCACAGCCAGCACCACCGCUGCCAUACCCCGUCGUUAACAUGCAGCCUAGCCGCAUAGAGCACCUUGGGAUGGCAUCGUUUCGAUGCCAUGGACCACUAAGUAGCAGCCUCAUGGGCUUGCUACCUCUGCACAGAUAACCAGGCUUCGACCUGGGUUGGGUUUCCAUAAGCCUGAAGCCCCGAGCCCACUAGCAAGCCUGCAGCCUUGUUGGACCAUCCCUUGCAACCUAGCCCAACCUGCUAGCAAGCUUUUGUGCUUGUUGGGCUUGUCCUCUUGCCCUGGCCCUCCUACAGCAGAUUUCUUGGCUGAUGGGUUUGAACUGUCACAGCCUAACCACAAAGUCAGCUUGGGCUACGCUUUGCAGCGCCUCAAACCAAAGCCAGCUUCGGUUGGGCUUGCUAGCGCUUUGGCCCGAGACCAAAUCAAGUCAGCCUUUGCGGUUGAGCUUACCCAGGAACAGCCCAUGGCCUGCAGCCAUGAUUUGGGCUGCCCAGUUGCAACCCGUGGCCUCUCUAAGCCCUUUUAGGGCCUUGGCUUGCUCACGGCACCCAAGCCCACCGUCAUUGGGCUAUGGUUUUUUUAAUCCAAUGCUAUUUUUGUCAUUCUUUAUAAUUUAACCUGAAUGUUAUAAUUAUUUUUGCUUCUACAAUCGAUCUUGUAUGGUCUGAUCUAUUGAAUUCAUUAAAGUGACCAACAAUCCAUUAAUCUGAAAAUUAAUCCAAAAUUAUUAGCAUGUAGCUCACUUUUUGAAAAUUAACAAUUCAAUAAAUUAUUUCGUUUCUUUGAAUCGUUGAAUAUCUUUCGUAAUCCCGAAGCACUCACACUUGGGGUCCUGAAACAAUCCACAAAUUCACUACACUUUAUUGUAUAUUGUAUUAUGUGUUCUUGCAGGUAUCCUUAUAUAUGAACUGAACGUUCAUAACUAAAUAGAACCUGUAGUUUCGAAUUUAGUGUCCUUGAAACUCGAAAUUUUCAUUCAAAACUUACCACAUGAAACCUGUAGCUUUCAUGCUUAAAUUAAACCAAUACAUGUCCAUAGAACCCGAAUGUUCUACGAUAUAUGUCUAUGGAUUUCCAUAUGACUAACCAUGUUUUGUUGUAACCUCCGUUUUAGGGACAUGUCGAACUUGAACAAGCUCAAAUUCACCGCUCUGGAAGUCUCUGGAAAAAACUACCUGAAGUGGGUUCAAGACAUGAAACUCCAUCUUACUGCAAAAAGUCUUAGAGCUACUAUCGAGGAACCAAUAAAUGAUGAAGCCGUCGAUGAAACUCUGAAAGUUACUACUAUGAUCUUCAUUCGCAUACACACCCAUGAUGUACUACAGACCGAGUACCUCGCAGAGAAGGAUCGACGUACAUACCCUCUGGCUUGCUCUAGUCGAUCGCUCCGAUCACCGAAAAGACAUUUACUUGCUUGAAGCAAGACAUGAUUGGCAGCAUUUACGUUUCCAAGACUUUAAGUCAGUGAAUGAAUAUAACUCUGAAAUUUGUAGAAUUCGAUCACUACUUAAGUUCUGUAACGAGGACUUAACCGAACAUGAUCUCCUAGAAAAUACCUAUUUGACCUUCAAUGUCACCAAUAUUGUCUUGCAACAACAAUAUAGGGCAUAUAAGUUCGCCAAAGUUUUAGAUUUGAUAUUUAUUUUACUUCUCGCUAAAAGCAGAACCAGCUUUUAAUGAGAAAUCAUCAAGCUCGACUUACUAGCUCGAACGCUGCGUCUAAAGCACAUGCGACCAAUUCUAGCAGCCACAACUAACAAAAAUCUCAUCGUGGUCGUGGAAAUGGGCGGUAAGCCCCACCAUGGGCCCAAAGUCAACAAAUAGAGGCCCACCCAAGUGAGGAAAUUUGACCUAAAAUGUUAACCCCUUGCCUUUAAGGCCCCAAACUUCAAGAAUAAGGGAAAAACUACCAUUCAAUCGGCUUCCACUGAACUGGACAUGUGAUAUUAUUGUGGAUCAAAUGGUCAUUGGUCAUGCAUCUGCUAAGCUACCCCUGAGGCGAUUGCCAAGUAUCAUUCCCUCGUGAGGCUAACUUUGUGCUUGUAGAACUUCCCGAAGAUACUACUACCACCCUGGAGGUUUCAGAUUUUCAUGAGGCAUCCACUCCCAUGGAAGAAUAAAGUUUUAUUUUUCUAAGACAUGUUAGGCUGUUUUACACCCCUAGUGGCCGAACCCAUUAGGAGUGGCCAAACCCCCUACAUUUUAGGUUUAUGGUUUAAUUUUCAGACAAUUUUUCUAAGUCUUUGGAAUUAUUUGUUUGGUUUUGGUUUGUUUUGAACUAUGGAUAGUUAUUUUAUGUAUAUUAUUUCUCGACUUGAUUAAUUGAAUGAAUGGAAUUAUAUUUAUGCAUGUGACCAAUUUAAUUUAUUUAUUUAUAGGUAUGACUAGUGGAGAAGUUAGUUGUCUGGCUGAUAGUGCCACCAUGCACACCAUAUUGCGUGAGAAACACUAUUUUACUAACUCAUACCUAAAAAUGCACCUCUGAAAACAUUCUCAGGCCCAUCCAACCUGAUAGAAGGAUACAUAAAGGCUUGUAUUAUGUUGUCCAAUGGUACUGAAUUAACCAUUAAAAAGGCACUCUAUUAAAAGGCAUUAUUUGUAUCACUUCUUACGAAUAUGGCCAGAAGCGUACUCACAAUAAGCUGGAAAAUCUCCCGAGUGGGUUGUACAUAACAACCAUUCGUGUCAUCGAUACCCAUCAUGUGGCCAGCCUUAUAGCUGGGUUCCAGAGUAUUCUCCUGUUUUGGCAUGAUCAAAUGGGACACCCCGGAAGAGAUAUGAUGCACCGUAUCCUUAAAGUAUCACAAGGGCAUCACUUGAAAUCUUAUCCUGGUCAACCACUUUGCAAAGCAUGCUCUUUGGGGAAGUUGAACAUUCAACCUUCCCUUACAAAGAUUAUUCACGACCCCUCUAUGUUUCUUUAGAUGAUUCAAAGGGAUAUUUGUGGACCUAUCCAACCAACAUACGGACCAUGUUUGCUUAUUAUUCACAUGCAAUGCUGCAUUUGCGAAACUCCUAGCACAAAUUAAUAAGCUUAGGGUUCACCACCCUGAUUAUCCGAUUAAGUCGAUUCGACUAGAUAAUGCGGGAAAGUUUACGUCACAGACUUUUGACGAUUAUUGCAUGUUUAUUGGGAUUGAUGUUGAACAGCCUGUACCCCAUGUUCACACCCAAAAUGGCCUGGCAGAAGCUUUCAUAAAGCGCCUUCAAACGAUAGCUCGGACUUUGGUUAUGCGAACCAACUUGCCGGUAUCUGCUUGGGGCCAUGCAAUAUUGCACGCAACUAUAUUGGUCUAUCUGAGGCCCACCACUACCUAACCUCAUUCACCGUUACAGUUGGUUAUUGAAUAUGAGUCUGACGUCUCACAUUUAUGUGUGUUUGGGUGCGUAGUCUAUGUGCUAAUAGCACCGCCACUACGUACCAAAAUGAGUCCUCAAAGAAAAAUGGGAAUCUAUGUCGGUUAUGAUUUGCCAUCCACUAUUUGCUACUUAGAACCCUUGACAGGAGAUUUAUUUACCGCACAUUUUGCGGAUUGUCACAUCGAUGAGACAGUCUUCUCGUCGUUAGGAGGAGAUAAGAUCACUAAAGUUCUUGUAGAACGCCGCGAAUUGUCGUGGAUUACUCACAUUAUGUCUCAUUUGGAUCCCUACACCCCUCAGUCUGAAAUUGAAGUGCGAUGUAUACUAGAUCUUCAGAGCAUCACCCAAAGCAUGCCGGAUGCUUUUACUAAUCUAGCAAAGGUGACGAAAUCACAUAUACCCGCUGCCAAGGUAUAAAAUAUCGAUGAUAUCGGAAAUAUCGGUAGUCCAAAAAUACGGAAAUAUUGAUGGAAAUAUCGGGAUAUUAUCAAUAUCAAUAAAAUUGAAUAAAAACCACGGAAAUCGUAAGAAAAACUUGGAAAUUUUUAUUGAAACUUUGGAGAAUGUUUAUUUAGUCAAUUAUCUAUUAGUUUAUCAAAAAAAAUUAGAAUGAAAUGCAUUACAUGAUGGAUUUAACUGAUUUAAGUUGAUUAUACAGCGAGCUGGCAAACACUGUGAGUAUAGAAAAUAUGUAGUAAUUAAUGAAAAAAAUUAAACACACCAUAAUCAUUUAUAUAUAAUGAUUUACUACAAUAUUUUACAUUUUAUACAUUGCAUGGUAAGAUACAUGAGUGAUUUAGUACCACAUAAAGUUCCUAUGAGGUUCAAAUUUUUCACUAUCUUCAUCAUCUCUAUGUGUAGAGUAAGUUUAUUGUGAAGAGUAUUCAUCAAAUGAUAAAUCCUCAAAAUAGUUUUGCAUGUAAUUGUUAACAUGUCACUCAUAUAAAUUAAUAAAUAUAAAUAUUUUAGCAUAUUAUCACUAAAACAUAAGUGAUAUAUCGUGGUUAAGGUGUUGGAGGAGUAAAAUGGGAGGGGUUCAAAAUCCCCUUUGUGUUUUUUUUCCUCCUUUUUUGCCCUUUUUUCUUCUUUUUCCUUUAAACUUUAAAAGAUCACACAAAAAAUCAAUGAUUCAUAUCAUUGUACAAGACUACAAGAUGAGAAUGAACAUCUCGAGGACAAUAUGAAAAUAUUCAAAAUAGAAAGUUUCAAGUGGUGUAUUGCCCUAAUGAAGAAGAGUUGUAUUCGAAUUAAAAUAAGGUUGUGGUAUCGACACACCUAUUUUUUACACACUACACUCAAUUUUCAAUUGAUCGGGAUCAAAUGAAAUUAAACAAGAUCUAUGAAAAAAUUAACAAGAAUAUAUGCAAGGUACAAAGUGUGUGUGGAAAACGCUACAUUUUAAAAAAUAAUCUCACUAUGUGGAGUAAACAAAAUAAUAACAAAUAGAAGAAUAAAAAAAUAUGUCACCAUUUCUUUCUUCCCUACCCUGCACGUGAGGUCAGAAGGAUGAUUUUAAAAUCUGCCACCUUCUUUUCGUCCUUCAUAAUAUCCCCCUCCCCAUUUCUCUUUCCCCAUCGCCCGUCCAAGCCUCUCCUCUCCGCUCUCUCUCUCUAAAAACCACAACUUUUUCUUCCUUUCUCUCUCUAGAAAAACCACACCCUCCAUUUUUUCUUUCUUUCCAUCUAUCUAUAUCUCUGAAAGAAAAAAAAAACAGAAGAAAAAAAAAGGGAGGAAGAGAGAGAUCGAUCGAUCGAUCAGAAUCUGAGUGAAAAAAAUGGCACAGAUAGCCGAGAAGGAAGAGACGGAGUUCAAGGUCCCCGAAACUCUAACGCACUGCAUCAACAACUGCGCGUCACCGGUAAUCCCUCCACCAACAACUUGUGCAAAAGUGCUUCAACGCCGCCACCACCUCAUCGUCGUUUUCGUCCAUGGCGAUUUUAAAGUUUUCUGCGGAGAAAAGUCCGAGAUCUACCUCAUCCUUCAGCUUCGAGGCCCCGACCGAGACCUUCCGGAAGACGACGACGUCGGAGAUCGCGAGAUCAGAUGAAUUGCUGAAUAGGCGCGUGGUCAAUCGGUGCUCCGAAUGCCAGAGAAAGGUCGGGUUGAUCGGAUUUCAGUUUCAUCUCGCGAUAUUAUCGAUAAUAUCGAUAAUAUCACGAUAUAUUUCCCAAAUAAUGUAUUAAAAUGUUGAAAAUAUCGUUUCUGAUAUUAUCGCGAUAAUAUCGACGAAAAUAUAGAUAUAUUGACGAUAAUUAAGUGGAUACGUAUGAAAAUAUCGUCUUCUAAAAAAAAUGAUAUUAUCAGCGAAAUAUCACCGAUAAUAUCGAUAUUUUGGUCAUUGCCCGCUGCAAAUGCACCUGUAAGGAUGGACGUACUUAACGUACGUCGUAACAUUGCCUUGGAAGGCCGAAUCGUCCCCGAAGGUAAGGCAGCCGCACCUCCCACAUGGCAGGUACACUAUUGGCUAACCAAUCACCUGCUCCUACUCUGAAGUGUGGCAAGCCCCAUGGUUCUAAGGAUUCACAACCCCAAAAAAGGAAAACUGCACAAACUAAUGACCCUAGUCUGAAUCUGACCAUUGCUUACUCAUCUGUUCCAACGUAUGAGGUUAUUCAAGAUUAUGGUGAUGUCUUAAAUGAGACAUACCAGUCUCCUAAGAAUCGCGAGAUUUCGAUCCAUUACGCAGUAUUAGAUGAGGUUUGGAAUCGGAAUGAGAUGAUUGUCAAUGAUGCAUUCACGUAUACCGUUGCUUUCAACAUCAUGCUUAGCGAUGACAUUGAACCAUGUUCCGUUGAUGAAUGUCGACAUAGAACAGAUUGGUCAAACUAGAAACAAGCAAUCCAGGUCAAACUCAAUUCGCUCGCAAAAUGUAAGGUGUUUGGACAUGUACCUCUUACUCUACCACAUGUGAAGCCUAUGGGCUAUGAGUGGGUUUUCGUAAGGAAACAUAAUGAGAAGAAUGAAUUAGUGUGAUACAAAGCACGCCUCGUAGCUCAAGGCUUCUCUCAACUCCCUGGAUUGAUUACAAUGAGACGUUUCCAAAAAAAACUGAAUAUGUAGCUUAUGGACGUGGUAACCGCGUAUCUCUAUAGGGAUCUAGAUACGAAAAUGUACAUGAAAGUUCCAAAAGGACUUCCAUUAAAUGGUUCAAAUAGUUCUAGACCAUGGAACACUCUCUCAAUUAGAUUGGGGAGGUCACUCUACAAAUUGAAACAAUCCGGGCGGAUGUGGUAUAACUGUCUGAGUGAAUAUUUGACAAGUCAAGGUUAUGUGAACAAUGAACUAUGCCCAUGCGUGUUCAUCAAGAAGUUAUAUUCCGGAUUUGUGUUCAUUGCAGUUUAUGUCGACAACAUAAACCUCAUCGAAACUCUCAUAGAGCUUGAGGUAAUUGCCGCUCACUUGAAAUCAAAAUUUGAGAUGAAAGAUCUUGAGAAAUCACGAUAUUGUCUCAGCGUGGAGAUCGAGCAUUGUUCGGAUGAAAUCCUAAUACAUCAAUCGAACUACACCGAGAAAGUGUUGUGACGUUUUAAUAAAGAUAAAGCAAAGCCUUCAAGUACUCCUAUGGUUGUUCAGACUCUAGAUGCAAAACAAGAUCCAUUCCAUCCCAACGAGGAUAAGGAAGAGAUUUUGGAGCCUGAAGUUCUAUACCUAAGUGCAAUCGGUGCUUUAUUGUACUUGGAUCAAUGCACCAAACCCGAUAUCUCCUUCCUUGUUAAUCUUUUGGCUAGAUACGACAAUGCGCCUAUACGCAGACAUUGGAAUAGUGUUAAAGACAUUUUCCGUUACCUCAAGGGUACGACGGAUUUAGGCUUAUUCUACACCCACGAAUCCUUGAGAUGAGUCGCCGCCCCCUCGAUCCUCGAGUUGAUUCUUGCCUCGUUGAUUACGCAAAUACUAGUUAUCUGUCUAACCCACAUAGGGCACGUUCUCAGAUGGGCUAUGGCUUUACCGUUGGAGAUACCACUGUAUCUUGAAAGUUUACCAAGUAAACACUAGUUGCAAUUCUUUGAACCAGCUGAGAUUCUCACUUUGCAUGAAUCAUCGCAUGAGUGCUUUUGGUUGAGAACAGUCAUGGAACAUAUUCGAAGCAUUAGUGGUCUUACUUCCGUCAUUGACUUUUCUACGAUGAUCUUUGAAGACAAUGCAGCAUGUAUCGAGCAAUUAAAGAAGGGAUACAUUAAGGGAGACAACACCAAGCACAUAUCGCCGAAGUUCUUUUAUUCUCACCAGCAACAACAACAUCAGAACAUUGAAGUCAAGCAAAUCUGUUCCCAAGACAACUUGGCUGAUCUCUUCACCAAGUCAUUGCCUAAGUAUACUUUUCGUAAGCUCGUCCAAGGAAUCAGUAGCGUAAAUUAUCUGGGUUGAAUUGCUUGUAGUUCUUUUAUUUGGAAGUUAUGUUUAACUCAAGGGGAGUAUUCUAAAGCAUGAUCACUUGAUCUUAAUGUACUAUUUUUCCUACGAUUAGGAGCAUUUUUCCCACUAUGUUUUUGCUACCUAACGAGAUUUCAACAAGGCACCCAUCCUGGGAUGAUCAUACUCCAUUGAGUUCACUACUUUCAUCCUGUUUUAUGUUUGUUUUAAGACAUUUUGCAUACUUCUCACUUUUCUCCUUAGUGUAUGAGUUUUCACCUGGCUUAGGUUUUAUCAUAGAGAGGUUUUGUAAGUUUUACUACCAAUGCAUACUUUCUUUUAAAUUUGAGACUCGCAUUCACCCGUUGUGUCAAUGACUUUAUCAAUUGUUCUACCUUAUCUACUGAAGAUCUGAUGCAAUGUUUUGUUUGAGUAUUUACACACUCAAAGGGGAGUGUUGCAAUUCUAUUGGAUUAGGAUUGUGAUUGUGUAAAUCCUAGUGUAUCUAGGAGUAUCUUUGUAUAUUCCCUUUAGUAGUUUAAUUCCUAUUAAAAUUGUAAUACUAAUAGCGUAAGGAUUUAACAUUUCCUACUACUAUAAAUAAAGGCACAAUAGGGUGAUACAACACACACCUCAUAAUUACAUCUCUCUUUUCUCUCUGUUGCCGCCGGCCCCUCUCCCUUUCUGUCCUAAAUACAGUUUAGUCAAAUAGGCCUACAACAUAAAUGAGUAUUUUUCAUUUUUCUUUUUGUUGACAAAUUCUUCGAAUACGGAAUAUAAAUGAUUCAUUUUUGCAGGAAUAUGUAAAUAAAAAUUUAAAUUUACAUUCUUAUUUACAUCUUUUGGUGAUGGGUCCGACUAAUCAAAUAAAGAAUUUAAAUGGGAUAUCAAAUUUACAUCUCUCAAUAGGGAAGAACGUUCAUUUACAUCUGCCAAAAAUAUAAAAUAAGAUGUAAACAUGGUUCUUACCUCUCAAGUUUACAUUUUUUCAUUAGAGAUGCAGGAGAUGCAAAAUACAUUGGAAUGAGUAUUUUUCAUUUAUUUUUUUGUUGACAAAUUCUUCGAACACGGAAUAUAAUGAUUCAUUGUCCUGGGAAUAUGUAAAUAAAAAUCCAAAUUUACAUUCUUUUUUACAUCUUUAGGUGAUGGGUCCGACUAAUCAAGUAGGGAAUUUAAUGAGAUAUCAAAUUUACAUCUCUCAUUAUUAGGGAAGAACUUUCAUUUACAUUUGCCGAAAAUUUAAAAUAAGAUGUAAACAUGAUUCUUACCUCAAGUUCACAUUUUUUUUCAUUAGAAAUGCUCUUAACUCUUGUGAGAAGAAAAAAAAAUCGGACACCAAUCUGAAAAAUAGUAAGACGAAACACAUCACUAAACAUUUUUUGCCAUUUAUAUUAGUUUUUGAAUCGAGAAUUUGAAAAGAAAUUUACCAAAAUUUGGUAUCCCAUAUCUUAAAAAACUGAGUGGAUUAGUGUAUUGUGACUCGUGAUUAGUAUUAAUCAAAUAAAUAAGAGUAUCAAAUAGAUACGGAAGGACAUGGAUCCUCUCUAGAUCCAAUUGUCCUAAUUCUAAGAAUCAAUGACUCCGGACCAUUGAAAUUUGAUCCAACGGUUAAAGUUAUUAUAACUUUUAGAAUGUGUCCCUAUUUAUAAUCGUUGAAUUAAAUUUCAAUGGUUUAGAUUUAUUGAGCCCUAGAAUUAAGAUAAUUGGAUCCGGAGAUGAUCCAUGUGCGAUACGGAACGCUCCAAAGGGUGGGCAAUAAUGUUGACAUGGAUGGCACAAAAUGGUGGUGACUAGAAUGCUGUGCGAUAUGGGAAUUAUUGGAGGAGACGUUUGGCUCAGUUUUUACAAGAUAAGUUCUGUGACGUGUUUAGUGCAAAUUUGACAUGACUGAUUUGAUAUUGCAUACGGUUGUGCUUUCAGACUUGAUAUAUCUUUAGCGAUCUAAUUGCUUUGUUAAGCUCUAAGAUUGGAGGAGAACGUUUGAAAAUCUCAAUCGAAUCCUUUUGGUCUGUGAUGUUUAUAUUAGAAAUUUUAAUCAAAUUAAUUUAUGGAGAGUCAUUAUUUGACAAGAAAUAUUUGCAUCUCUUAUCUCCUUUUUUUUCCUUUUUGUCCGGACAUUUGUAGCCAUUUGUACAUAUCAUCUCAAUCUUUUAUUGUGUACCUUUUCUUCGUUGUGUUUAGAUAUUAUUCAUGCAAUCAUGAUGAACAAACAGUUUCCCACCAAAUACGAAAAUACUUCAUAAAUCCUCCAGUUUCCCACCAACAAUGAGGGUGUAAUGCACCUUGACAAAAAAAUGCAUCAAACGAUAACCUUAAUGCAUAAGCGAAUUGAAAUUCACCAAAAAAAAAAGAGAAAUUAGGUUCAUAUUCUUCCUACUCCCUUAAUUAAAAUCUUAUUCAUUUUCAAUUUUUGAUCAAGAUCCUUAGGUAUUAAUAACAUUAUUAAUUAUUUGAAUAAUAAAAUAUUUUUAUUUUUAAACAUAUUCAUUUAGUGUUAAAAAUGUUACAAUUAGUAUAUUUAUAUUUAUGGCUAAAUUUUUUAUCAUAUAUUUUUAUUUUUAGUUUGUACCAAUUUUUUUUUCAUUUUUAAUUUGUACCCAUAUAUUAGUUUCUUUUUGUGCCCAUAUUUUUUAAUGUUUUAUUUGUGUUUGUAUCCAUGUGUAUACUGUCACGUGACAUUGUAUAUUUAACCAAUAAUAUAAAAAUUAAAUAUAGUAUAUUUAUGUUUUAUGCCUAAACUUUGUAUCAUAUAUUUAUAUUUUAGUUUGUACCCACUUUUAAUUUGCAACAUUUUUUUUAAUUUGUAGUAUUUUCUUUUUAGUUUUAUUUUGUACCAAUGUAUUAAUUUCUUUUAGCGCCUAUAUUUUUUAAAAAUUCAUUUGUACUCAUAAUUUUUUUAAUAUUUUAUAUGUACCCUAAUUUAUUUAUAAUGUACCCAUUCUUCUUUAUUAAUGUAUCACUUAGUUAUAUGUGAAAUAUACCAAUUUUUUUAACACUAUGGAUACAUUCUUUUGCCAUUUCUUAUUUCUUAUUUUUACAUAGUUUUUAUCCAUUUAUUCAAUCAAAAUGCUUAACUCCGCCUGUGUAAAUUUAUUUUACAUUGCCGGUCCCAAGCCCGGAUAAAGAAGGAGGGGGAAGGCGUCAAGUAGUCGACAGCCGGCACUCCUAGUUUACGUCGAAUCCUUAUGAAAAUGAAUCCAGAACGAAAUCGCGCUAAAGUUAGGGCGUCACCCGUAAGUGGCGCACUGUGUGGCCCGAGCACAGUGAUAAGUGAGUAAGGGUCGUUGUAUCUCCAUCGGCACCCGGAUGCAGUGUUAAAUGAGCAAGGGGGCCAUAGAAACUUCUUUUCGAACGACUUCACUCAAAGUUGUUUGGGAGCAUAUGCUCCUAUCAACUUUACACAGGACACACAAAAAAAGUAUUUUGAUCCUAUUAGACGGGGGAGGUUGAAGAAGCUAGGACAGAAGGGUAGAGUUCAAGAUAGUAGAAUGCAUUUAGGAACCCUAACGGGAAAAUCUAUGGAAGUAGUGGAAGUUAUGGUGAGGAGAAGGAUAAAUAUUAUGUGCCUACAAGAAACUAAGUGGGUUGGUCUUAAGGCAAAGGAUCUAGAAAACUCAAGGUUUAAACUCUGGUAUUCGGGCACAAAUAGAACGAGAAACGGUGUUGGCAUCAUCGUGGACAAGACCUUGACACAAGAUGUUGUAGAUGUCAAGAGGGUAGGAGAUAGAAUCAUGGCAAUCAAGAUUAUAAUAGGACAAGAACUCAUCAAUGUGAUUAGUGCGUACACACCUCAAGUAGGGUUGGAUACGAGUUCGAAGGAGAAAUUUUGGGAAGACCUUGGAGACUUGGUGCAAGGAAUUGCUCAGACGGAGAAGUUAUUUAUAGGAGGAGAUUUAAAUGGACACAUGGGCAAGGAGACAGACAACUAUGGAGGUUUUCAUGGUGGCCAUGGUUUUGGGGAGAGAAACGAGGAUGGGGAAGCUAUCUUGGAUUUUGCGAUGGCAUAUGAUCUAUUCUUAGCCAACACCUUCUUUAAGAAGAAAGAAGAACAUGUGAUCACCUACAAGAGUGGGUCGUCAAAAACACAAAUAGAUUUUCUUCUAAUGAGGAAAGGGAAUCGUAUAACUUGUAAGGAUUGCAAAGCUAUACAGGGAGAGAGUUUGGCUAAUCAACAUUGCUUGUUGGUGAUGGAUGUACAUAUCAAAAGAGUGAGAAAAAAGAACAAGAUUUGGAAGUGCCCAAGGACUAGAUGGUGGAAUCUAAAAGGUGAAAAACAAGCCAUUUUCAAAGAGAAAGUAAUCACCCAGUGUGUGUGGGAUAGAGAGGGGGAAGCUAGCCAAAGGUGGGAUUCCAUGGCUAGUUGUAUCCGAAAAAUAGCAAAAGAGGUAUUAGGAGAGUCCAAGGGCUUUGCUCCACACCAAAAGAAAUCUUGGUGGUGGAAUGAGGAGGUACAAACAAAGGUGAAGGCUAAGAAGGAAUGUUGUAAAGCCUAAUACAAGGAUAGGACCGAUGAAAAUGGUGAAAGGUAUAGAAGAGCGAAGCAAGAGGCGAAAAAAGCUUUGAGAGAAGCUAAGUUAAUGGCUUAUGACGAUAUGUAUAAACGACUAGAUACCAAAGAAUGAGAGUUGGAUAUCUAUAAACUAGCUAGAGCAAGGGAAAAGAAGACAAUGGACCUAAACCAAGUGAGGUGCAUCAAAAAUGAGGAUGGAAAGGUUCUUCCUACAGAGAACGCGGUCAAAGACAGAUGGAGAGGUUAUUUUCAUAAUCUUUUCAAUGAAAGACAUGAAAAGAGUACUUUUUUAGGGGAGUUGAGUAACUCAGAAGAGUGUAGAAACUACUCAUUUUAUCGUCGAAUCAGGAAGGAAGAAGUGGUUGUAGCUUUGAAGAAGAUGAAGCAUAGAAAAGCAGUGGGCCCAGAUGAUAUAUCGAUCGAAGUGUGGAAAGUCUUAGGAGAGACAGGUAUAGCAUGGCUCACUGACCUUUUCAAUAGGAUUUUGAAAAUGAAGAAGAUGCCAAAUGAGUGGCGAAAGAGCACUUUGGUGCCUAUCUACAAGAAUAAGGGUGACGUACAAAAUUGCAUGAACUAUAGGGGUAUUAAGCUAAUGAGUCAUACAAUGAAGCUCUGGGAGAGAGUCAUUGAGUAUAGAUUGAGGCAAGAGACACGGGUUUCGGACAACCAAUUCAGGUUCAUGCCAAAACGCUCAACCAUGGAGGCAAUCUAUCUCUUACGAAAAUUGAUGGAAAGAUAUAGAGAGGGGAAAAAGGAUUUAUACAUGGUCUUUAAAAAUUUGGAAAAAGCUUAUGAUAGGGUCCCUAGAGACAUUCUCUGGAGGAUUUUGGAGAAGAAAUGAGUACGAGUAGCAUAUAUCCAAGCUAUAAAGGAUAUGUAUUAAGGAGUAAAAACUGCCGUAAGAACUCAUGAAGGACAAACCGAAAGCUUCCCCAUAACUGUAGGAUUACAUCAAGGCUCAUUCUUAAGUCCUUACCUUUUUGCGUUGGUAAUGGAUGAGUUAACAGGACAUAUUCAAGAUGAUAUUCCUUUCUGUAUGCUUUUCGCAGACGAUAUAGUAUUGAUAGAUGAAACUCAUGAAGGGGUAAAUGUGAAGCUUAACCUUUGGAGAUAAGUGUUGGAAUCUAAAGGUCUUCGCCUAAGCCAAUCGAAGACAGAAUAUAUGGAGUGCAAGUUCAGUGCAAAUGGAGGCCAAAAUGAGUUAGGGGUGAGGAUCGGAGAUUAGAAAAUACCAAAGAGUGACUGCUUUCUCUACCUAGGAUCUAUCUUGCAAAAGAACGAAUAAUUAGAUGAAGAUCUCAACCAUAGAAUACAAGUUGGAUAAAUGAAGUGGAAUAGUGCAUCCGGCGUGUUGUGUGACUGUUGUAUGCCACUGAAGCUCAAGGAAAAAUUUUAUAGGACGGCAAUAAGGCCGGCGAUGCUGUAUGGAACAGAAUGUUGGGCGGUGAAGCAUCAACACGUACACAAAAUAGGUGUAGCGGAGAUGAGGAUGCUUCGUUGGAUGUGUGGGCACACGAGAAAGGAUAAGAUUAGGAAUGAGGAUAUCCGAGGUAAAGUAUGAGUAGCCGAAAUUGUAGGAAAGCUGAGAGAAAAUCGGUUACGGUGGUUUGGACAUGUGCAAAAAAAGGCCUACUAACGCUCCGGUUAGAAGAUGCGACUACGAGAUAGAGGUUCAAGGCCGAAGGGGUAGAGGAAGACCCGGGAAAACUUUGGAAGAGACUCUAAGAAAAGACUUAGAGUAUUUGGAUCUAACGGAAGAUAUAACAUAGGACCGAGCACAAUGGCGUUCUAAGAUUCAUAUAGCUGACCCCACUCAGUGACUUGGAUUUUUCAAGUCUCCAACGGAGAAAUUUUCCUCACUCGAGAAAUUAAGGGAACACUACCUCAACCUACAUGCUUCACUCACAAAGCUUCAACAUACAAGCUUCAACAAAAGAAAAAUUCAAAAAACUUAGUGAAGAAACUUUGGUGUAUUUAACACAAUACGUUGAAAUGAAGCAAAGCUUAUUUAUUGAUAUCUCCGAUAAGUUACAAAUAUGUACAUAUACAUGAGUCAAAAUAAACAAACAAGAGGGGGCCUUCACAAAGGUUGCUUAGGAGAAGUCUCAGCAGUCGGUAGAGCUCCAGAAAGAGAAGGCACUGGAGAGUGAUCACUCGGAGCCUCAGUACUGGAUAGAACCCUAGAAGGAAGAGGCAUCGGAGGCUGAUCAUUUAGAGUUUCAUUACGCGAUAUAGCCCCAGAAGACAAGGCAAUAAAUGCCUUUGGAACAAACCCACAAACCUCUGAUGAUCAAGUAAAAUCUGACCAUCAGAUUCCUUCAUCUGGUCAAGCUUCAUCUUCAUGUUUGUAGCAUAGUCAUGUGCGAGCCUGUGCAACUGUUUAUUCUCAUGCUUGAGCCCUCUAAUCUCCUGCUUGAGACUCAUCACUUCAGCCACCAAUGAUUCAACUUGGCGGGUUCGAGCAAAUAGGCGUUAGGCCAUAUUCGACACAGAACCUGCACACUGAACACUGAGAGCCAGAGAAUCCUUAACAGCCAACUCAUCAGACCGUUUGGAAAGAAGUCUGUUAUCUUUGGGAGUGAGAAUGUUCCUGGCCACCACCGCAGCGGUCAUAUCAUUCUUCAUCACGGAAUCCCUAACGGUAAGAGAACCAGUAGGGGACAAGAAGGAUGGGCGCCAUAUGUUGUCUGGAGAAGGCGUGGCUACCUCUUCACCAAGGUUCAAGUCAAAACGACGGUCGGAAGAGCCAGACAUUUUCAAAUGUGUUGAAGAGAGAAGAGGUUGGACAAAUCAAGAUCUUAGAAGUGCAAGAAGGGAGCUUCUACUGGUGGAGAUUCAAGUGUGAUUUGGAACUUAAUGCUAGCCUCUAUAAAAAUCUGCACUCGACGGAGCUUCAGAAAUCGAAGAGCCGUCUGCUCAGAAAUCGAAUAGGCAUUUGCUUUCUCAAAAGAUGGGCUGCUCAGAGACCACGAGGGCCGAUCUCAGAGAUCGAAGAGGCAUUUGCUUUCUCAAAAGUUGGGCUGCUCAAAGACCACGAGGGUCGAUCUCAAAAAUCGAAUAGGCGCUUGCUUUCUCAGCCUUGUCAGCACCUGUCACAUGCACACUCAGCUUUGCGGAAAUUACGGGCAAUCUGUCGAAGAUUUCUGGUGAAGUAGAAAACACGUGAAUCUUACUGUUCAAUCAUCCACUUUCCACACGCAACAUCAGAUCAUGGGUACCACCGAUAACUUUGCCAAAGAUCUCUGACAAAGUUUAGACACGUGAAGCUUGCAGCUCCCACUACAUCGCUAUGACCAAGAUGGGUAACGAAUAGCAAAGAAACAACACUAACAAAGUUUAGACACAUAAAUUUUGAAGGUUUAGCUACCAUAUUAUUACCCACAAGGGUAAAGGAACAGCACCACUGCUGGAUAAUUGGAAAUUCCCUGUGUGUCAACCUCUGUGCUCCGUGGCAAGGUAGACUAGCAAAAAUGCCCACCCUUUACUCACAUUCGAGAAAACACUCCCAACAAGAUUGCUUGCUCCAAAAUCGAAGAGGCACCGCCCUCUGAAUCUCGAGAGCCAGACUCCCAACAUGAUUACUUUCUCAAAAAUCGAAGAAGCACCGUUCUCCGAAUCUCGAAAGCCAGAUCCCCGAUAGGAUCGCUUGUUCGAAAAUCGAAGAGGCAUCGUUUUCUCAACUUCAAGAGCCAGAUCUCCUUGGAUAAAGCUUGUCUGUAAUCUUCACACGCAACAUCAGCUUUCCAGAUACCACAGACCACUUUUUCAAAGUGCUCUAACAGAGUUAAAACACGUGAAGAUGACAGCUCCCACUACAGUGCUAUGACCAAGAAGGGUAAAGGAAUAACAUUACUACUUGUUGUUAAGGAGACUCCUAUAUAUGUCGACCUCCAUCCUCAACGGACAGGCAGACCUGCAAAAAUGCUCAACCCCUCCUCAUAUCUGAGAGGGCACCCCCAACGAAGCAUACUCAGCUUUCCCCCCCCCCCCCCCGAUAAUACCUCUGCAAACAAGCUACACCAGAGCAAGAAUAUCUCAUAUCAUCAGGGUUAAAAGCAAGAGUAUCUCAUAUCAUGCUUUUUUCCUGUCUUUUCCUUUAGCCUUGUUCUUACCUGCAAGACAAAGAGAAAAAGAGCAAUCAAUCAACACUUGGAAUCAAGCUUCCAGUCAGGAACUGACUGCCUGGAACCCCUUACCACAUCUGCCUGAAGAACAGAUAGGGCAAAUGAGAAGGAUACAAGGAAGCAUGUGGAGACAAACGUAAUAGAACACGUGCCGAUACUUCCAGUACUUUGUCAACAGCAAAAGUAUCCCAUAUCAGCAGGAUCGAACGUACUCUAGAUUUGAUGAACUUGUUUUGACCCUCAAAUUCUUCAGUCGGCCUUAUACUUUGGAGGUAACUAGAAAACCCUCUAGCCCAGUUCAAGAAUAAGCCUGUGGAAAGUUACUUCUUCAAAAGAAAAAGUAUCUUAUAUCAUUUUCUUCUCUUUAUCCUUCAUGCUGCCUGCAAAAUAUAGAAUGAGAACAAUCAGCCGGAACUCGAAAUCAAACUUUUGAUCUGGGACUAAUUGCUUGGAGCUCUGAUUGCUUACCUUGUCUAUCACCUCUUUCAGCAGAUGCCCUAGCUCGGCGACUUGGGGGACUCAUACUACAUGGUUUGUAUCGCGCUUGACCAAGCCUGAAACUACAAGUAAGCUUCAAGUGAAAUUGAUACAUUACCUUGUACAUCUCCACCAGUUAAAGAUACCACCCCUGGACGGAGGAAGAGUACUUCCAAAGAAGAUGCCACAUCUACCUAUGAGACAGAUAAGGCAAGUGAAGACGAUACCAUACUUCGGUACUUAGAAGUUUCGUGAUUACUCAGCGGCUUGGAUCUUGCAAGUCCCCAACCAAGGAGCUUCCCCUUCAACCAGGAGGCCAAUCACAGAGCGACACGUGUCGACAUCAGAAGCCAAUCAUAGCGCAACACGUGUCAACAUUGGAAGUCAAUCACAACACGACACGUGUCAAUGUCAGAACAAGGCUAGAAACUCUCUUCUAUAAAAUGAGAUCAUUAUCCCAAAAUAUUUCCUAAUGCCAUUUGUACUAAAUCAUUCACUUAUACCCAUUAAAGGAGAGCUUGAACCUAUGUACUUGUGUAAACCCUUCACAAUUAAUGAGAACUCCUCUACUCCGUGGACGUAGCCAAUCUGGGUGAACCACGAACAUCUUGUGUUUGCUCUCCUGUCUCUAUCAUUUUACAUACUUAUCCACACUAAUGACCGGAGCAAUCUAGCGAAGGUCACAAACUUAAUACUUUCUGUUGUACCAAAGUCCUCACUGAUUUUGUGCAUCAACAAUCCUUAAGUCCUUACCUUUUUACAUUGGUAAUGGAUGAGUUAACAGGACAUAUUCAAGAUGUUAUUCCUUGGUGUAUGAUUUUCGCAGACGAUAUAGGGUUGAUAGAUAAAACUCAGGAAGGGGUAAAUGCGAAGCUUAACCUUUGGAGAGAAGUGUUGGAAUCUAAAGGUCUUCGCCUAAGCCAAUCAAAGACAGAAUAUAUGGAAUACAAGCGGGAUGGAUGAAGUGGAAGAGUGCAUCUGGCAUGUUGUGUGACCGUCGUAUGCCACUGAAGCUCAAGGGAAAAUUUUAUAGGACGGCAAUAAAGUCGACGAUGUUGUAUGGCAUAGAAUGUUGGGCGGUGAAGCAUCAACACGUACACAAAAUAGGUGUAGCGAAGAUGAGGAUGCUUCGUUGGAGGUGUGGGCUCACGAGAAAGGAUAUGAUUAAGAAUGAGUGGGUUGGACAUGUGCAAAGAAGGCCUACUGACUCUCCAGUUCGAAGAUGUGACUACGGGACAGAGGUUCAGGGCCGAAGGGGUAGAGAAAGACCUAGGAAAACUUUGGAAGAGACCCUAAGAAAAGACUUAGAGUACUUGGAUCUAACGGAGGACAUGACACAAAACCAAGCGUAAUGACGUUCUAGGAUUCACAUAGCCGACCCCACUUAGUGGGAAAAGGCUUUGUUAUUGUUGUUGUUGUAUUCAAUCAAAAUGCUUGAAUUUUUUUUAUUGUAACUGUUUCUAAUAGUAUUAUAAUGAGGGAUUUUAAAUUUAUAGGAUUAUAAAUCUCAUAAAAUAUCAAACAGUUAAUGUCAAAACUAUAAAAAUAGAAAUUUUAAUUGUAAUAUAAUGAAGUGUACAAAGUCAAGGGACUUUGAUCUAACUUUGAAUACCAUUAAGGUUUUAGUCAAAGAAUGUUAAGGAUUAGGGACCGCAUUCAAAGUAUCUCAAAAAAAUACUUCAUAUAUUGAUUGAAUAAUAAGAAAGAUAACUAAACCCUAUCACCCUAAUGGUUGCUCAUAUAAUGUCCCUUGGCCCUAGACUUUUUAAGAGUACAAAUAGGAAACAAAUUAAGAAAAUAACAAUAUACCAAAAUAUAUAUUAUAAAAUCUUAAAAUGUUGAUAAAAUGUAGUAAAAGACGAAAUUUGGCCUAAAAUGCCCAUAUGUCACAACAAAGCGGUUUGUUGGACUCAUGUUGUCAUUUUCUUCGAAAUGGCGAGUCAUGGGUCCAAAUUGAACACUUGGACACAAGUUUGCAAAACUUGAAUUUUACCACCAAACUUGCACCUUUCAAGUUGAUUUUCGAUUCACUCGUAUCAAUCACCUACACAAAACUUCUAUUGUAGAUGUAAUUUGAGAUCCACAUGCAUACAUUAUAACAACUAUUAAUCUCAUGGAGACAACGUAUCAUAACACAUCUCUUAUUGUACAUGAUUAUAAAAUACAUCACCGUAUAUGGUAAACCAUUUAUAGAAAUCUGAUCAGAUUGUAUUUGGCCAGCCACAACUCAGUUUUAGCGUUUCCUUCCUUGAUUCUCCUUUUAUAUGCAUUACUUUUUAUUUUUCAACAUUGUCAUUGGAUGGUUAUAGUCCAAUAUGGGGCAUGACUUGUGUUACAAAUGGCUGGCCAUAAUUCCAUGCUUUUGGGAUGAAGAUGUUGAAUAUAUCGCUGCCAACUUAUCUCUGCCAGCUCAUCAAAACAAUUGUAAAGGAUUGGAUGAUGUAAUUUUUGAAAGAGUUAGUUAGUCCUCUAGUUAGCUAUAUAUAGCUAUGGUAAACAGAUAGUAAAGUUAGUUCAUUGAGUUCAAUACAAAACCUUCAUUCAUUGUUUCUCAUAUUUCUCUUCUCUCUGUAAAACUUCAUUUCUUGGUUUUACAAUUGUUCAUCUUUGCUUCUUCUCCAAUGUAGUUAACAUGGUAUUAGAGCCACUAGGCUCGCACCAUGGAUUUUGGUGGUUCCGUUUUUCAUUAAAUUUCAUCGUUUUUCUAGUUUUAUUUUCUCUUCAAAUUUUCUUCUGGUGGUUCCGUUUUUCAUUAGAUUUUCAUCAUUUUUCUAGUUUUAUUUUCUCUUCAAAUUUUCUUUAGAAAUUUCCAUUACUUUUUCGGUGGUUCCGCAAUUGUUCUUGGGUUGAUUUUUCGGCGAUUGUUGGGUUAAUUUUCCUUUGCCAACUACAUUCUACAAUAUCGAAUUUGGGGUUCUGCUUGGUGUUUGUGAAAAUGCCUGAAUGAAACUAAAUGCCACAAGGAGAUCGGAGAUCUGGAGAUUUGGUUCUUUCUUCUUGGUGGUCUGCUCAAAUCAUUGUCUGGAUUCUUUGGUGGGAAGCCAUGGUUGCUGCUGGUCAGUAGAUUGAUUGGUUUGCUUCCUCAUCGUUAUUUGGGUCAAGAUUGAAGUUCUUAUCAGGUUCUUGAUUUCU